AUUGAACGCUGGCGGCAGGCCUAACACAUGCAAGUCGAGCGGAUGAAGGGAGCUUGCUCCUGGAUUCAGCGGCGGACGGGUGAGUAAUGCCUAGGAAUCUGCCUGGUAGUGGGGGAUAACGUCCGGAAACGGGCGCUAAUACCGCAUACGUCCUGAGGCAGAAAGUGGGGGAUCUUCGGACCUCACGCUAUCAGAUGAGCCUAGGUCGGAUUAGCUAGUUGGUGGGGUAAAGGCCUACCAAGGCGACGAUCCGUAACUGGUCUGAGAGGAUGAUCAGUCACACUGGAACUGAGACACGGUCCAGACUCCUACGGGAGGCAGCAGUGGGGAAUAUUGGACAAUGGGCGAAAGCCUGAUCCAGCCAUGCCGAGUGUGUGAAGAAGGUCUUCGGAUUGUAAAGCACUUUAAGUUGGGAGAAAGGGCAGUAAGUUAAUACCUUGCUGUUUUGACGUUACCAACAGAAUAAGCACCGGCUAACUUCGUG
Molecule: ribosomal RNA, 484 nt
Filed under: uncultured bacterium
Lineage: Bacteria
Description: partial 16S ribosomal RNA
Rfam family: Bacterial small subunit ribosomal RNA
Source: RNAcentral